RNAcentral lists this ribosomal RNA (397 nucleotides) under uncultured bacterium. RNAcentral's name for it is "partial 16S ribosomal RNA". It matches the Rfam family "Bacterial small subunit ribosomal RNA", at positions 523 to 918 of the family's 1533-position model. The record is from RNAcentral.
AUACGUAGGGGGCGAGCGUUGUCCGGAAUGAUUGGGCGUAAAGGGCGCGUAGGCGGCGCGGUAAGUCUGGAGUGAAAGUCCUGCUUUCAAGGUGGGAAUUGCUUUGGAUACUGCCGCGCUUGAGUGCAGGAGAGGUUAUCGGAAUUCCCGGUGUAGCGGUGAAAUGCGUAGAGAUCGGGAGGAACACCAGUGGCGAAGGCGGGUUGCUGGCCUGCAACUGAAGCUGAGGCGCGAAAGUGUGGGGAGCAAACAGGCUUUGAUGCCCUGGUUUUCAACACUGUAAACGAAAAUUGCUCGGUGUAAGAGGUAUCGACCCCUUUUGUGCCGGAGUCAACACAAAACGCAUUACGCCUGGGGAGUACGGCCGCAAGGUGGAAACUCAAAUGAAUUGCCGGGG